This 338-nucleotide long non-coding RNA is filed under the name Vulpes vulpes (red fox). RNAcentral describes it as "lncRNA (ENSVVUG00000014248.1)". The record is from RNAcentral. Lineage: Eukaryota; Metazoa; Chordata; Mammalia; Carnivora; Canidae.
GGAAAUGUUUGGAAGGAAUUAACCUCUCCGUGGAAGUGACUUAGAAUGCACAGCGUCAGAUUCUCUGUUUUCCUCUAGAUGGCAGAGUAGUAUUCGAAAUGUUAAAGAGCUUUUAUUACUUGCAUCAGAGUUCCUGAUGAGAGACCUCUUAAGAAACCCCUCUCUAGUGGCCAUUUGUAUUUUCUCUGAGAAUUUCCCAACAAGCUUUCAGGAAAAUAAUGUCUAAGAGCAGUGAAUCCAGGAUGGAGUUUCUGCAAACACCGUGAGUAAGUAUUUCCAGAAUUUUCUUUCUCUGAGUUUCUCAAACACUAAAAAGUAAAGCAGUGCGCUACCUGUUU